RNAcentral lists this long non-coding RNA (267 nucleotides) under Trifolium pratense (red clover). RNAcentral's name for it is "long non-coding RNA (TPRA_LNC000305)". The record is from RNAcentral. Lineage: Eukaryota; Viridiplantae; Streptophyta; Magnoliopsida; Fabales; Fabaceae.
UAUAUACGUAUUAAUUAAGAGAAGAAAUAGUCAAUAUAGCUAGCCACUCCGCUGUCUCCUUGAUUCAAUAUUAAAUGCAUUAAUGUUGUGCUUCAAUUCAAAAUGUUCAAUUACAGCCCACACAUCCUUACUCUCCGCAUCAGUUUAUGGUGAUUUUUCAAAACCCUCAUCCAUCGAUAUGUGUUUCUUCUGGCGUCGUCCUCCUCGACACGCCUAAAAGCACCGUCCUCCUUGCGUCUUCACCUUUCUCUCGCCAUUGUCUGNNNN